RNAcentral lists this unclassified non-coding RNA (186 nucleotides) under fungal sp. RNAcentral describes it as "partial internal transcribed spacer region". The stretch from base 1 to 46 matches the Rfam family "Eukaryotic small subunit ribosomal RNA", at positions 1786 to 1831 of the family's 1831-position model. The record is from RNAcentral. Lineage: Eukaryota; Fungi.
AAGUCGUAACAAGGUUUCCGUAGGUGAACCUGCGGAAGGAUCAUUAGUCUUUUUUUUAGAUGUUGGGGGGUGUGCUCUCUUUUUUUGUGAGGGGGUGCUGAUUUUUGAGAGGUUUAUAAUAAAAAAUAAAAAUGAAUAAAAAAACAAAACAAAACACAACAGUCAACGGUGGAUCUCUUGGCUCGU